CUUGUGAACUGCAGGACACAUGAACAUCGACAUUUCGAACGCACAUUGCGGUCCACGGAUACAAUUCCCGGACCACGCCUGGCUGAGGGUCGUU
Molecule: ribosomal RNA, 94 nt
Filed under: Diadegma leontiniae
Lineage: Eukaryota; Metazoa; Arthropoda; Insecta; Hymenoptera; Ichneumonidae
Description: partial 5.8S ribosomal RNA
Rfam family: 5.8S ribosomal RNA
About the family: 5.8S ribosomal RNA (5.8S rRNA) is a component of the large subunit of the eukaryotic ribosome. It is transcribed by RNA polymerase I as part of the 45S precursor that also contains 18S and 28S rRNA.
Source: RNAcentral